RNAcentral lists this long non-coding RNA (493 nucleotides) under Mytilus galloprovincialis (Mediterranean mussel). The record is from RNAcentral. Lineage: Eukaryota; Metazoa; Mollusca; Bivalvia; Mytilida; Mytilidae.
CUAUUUCAAGGAUUUGUCCUUAUCCCACAUCUAAUGGACACACCUAUGACGAGAAGUAAGGAUUUGUCCUUGUCCCACAUCUAAUGGACACACCUAUGACGAGAAGGAGGUGUAUUUUGGUUUGUUGUACAUGCUUAUAAAAAUAACUUACAUAUGCUCUUUUCUUUUCCAUGUUAACCCUAUCCUCAGAUACACUUGAGUUGAAUAUAGUUUUGACAUCAUCUUAAUAUGACAUAAUAUGGUACAUGUACUUUGCUUCGGAACUGCGAAACUUUAUAUCUGUAAUUAUUUUACCAUAGCAUUAGUACAUGUACUUUGCUUUGUAAAGUGUGAAACGUUAUAUCUGUAAUUAUUUUUACAGAGUAAUAAGAAGUCAGACCAGUAGUAAUACCAGGACAUUUAUGGAUGACGAUUAAGUUUAAUAGUCAGUCCAAGGUCAAAUAAUGGUUAAUAGUGUUAUUUGAUAGAAUUAAAUUGUUUUUCUGUACACAGG